ACUUGGAUAGUUUAUUUAGAAUAGUAAUUUGUGGUAUUACUGGUGCUUAAUAAUUCAAGCUUCAGGUC
RNAcentral lists this transfer RNA (68 nucleotides) under Sirthenea flavipes. RNAcentral describes it as "tRNA-His". Lineage: Eukaryota; Metazoa; Arthropoda; Insecta; Hemiptera; Reduviidae. The record is from RNAcentral.